RNAcentral lists this ribosomal RNA (494 nucleotides) under uncultured Campylobacterota bacterium. Its description in RNAcentral is "bacterial SSU rRNA". It matches the Rfam family "Bacterial small subunit ribosomal RNA", at positions 862 to 1352 of the family's 1533-position model. The record is from RNAcentral. Lineage: Bacteria; Pseudomonadati; Campylobacterota.
AAAUGUACCGCCUGGGGAGUACGGUCGCAAGAUUAAAACUUCAAGGAAUAGACGGGGACCCGCACAAGCGGUGGAGCAUGUGGUUUAAUUCGACUAUACGCGAAGAACCUUACCUGGCCUUGACAUAGAAAGAAUUUAGCAGAGAUGUAAAAGUGCUAGUUUACUAGAGCUUUCAUACAGGUGCUGCACGGCUGUCGUCAGCUCGUGUCGUGAGAUGUUAGGUUAAGUCCUGCAACGAGCGCAACCCUCGUGUUUAGUUACUAACAGAUUAUGCUGAGGACUCUAGACAUACUGCCUGGGCAACCAGGAGGAAGGUGAGGACGACGUCAAGUCAUCAUGGCCCUUACGGCCAGGGCUACACACGUGCUACAAUGGGGUAUACAAAGAGCAGCGAUACCGCGAGGUGGAGCAAAUCUCAUAAAAUAUCUCCCAGUUCGGAUUACACUCUGCAACUCGAGUGUAUGAAGUUGGAAUCGCUAGUAAUCGUAGAUCAA